RNAcentral lists this long non-coding RNA (193 nucleotides) under Chinchilla lanigera (long-tailed chinchilla). RNAcentral's name for it is "lncRNA (ENSCLAG00000029198.1)". Lineage: Eukaryota; Metazoa; Chordata; Mammalia; Rodentia; Chinchillidae. The record is from RNAcentral.
UUGAAGUCUUCCAUGGCACAGUUUGGGCUGGAAUCGUUUGAGGGCUGACAUCUGACUUAGCUCUGAGUCCUUGGCAGCCAGUGCAGACUCUAGAGCAGAGCAGACUUCGUGCAUUGUCCUGCUAAAAACUUUGACACAGAACAGCAAAAGCACACGGAGAAAACGAAUCACUCUGACCCUGCCGGUGUGAGGU